RNAcentral lists this ribosomal RNA (510 nucleotides) under Dacus pleuralis. RNAcentral describes it as "partial 16S ribosomal RNA". The stretch from base 386 to 510 matches the Rfam family "Bacterial large subunit ribosomal RNA", at positions 2473 to 2597 of the family's 2925-position model. The record is from RNAcentral. Lineage: Eukaryota; Metazoa; Arthropoda; Insecta; Diptera; Tephritidae.
GUCUUUUUGAGUUAUUUUUAAAGUCUGACCUGCCCACUGAAUUUUAAAUGGCCGCAGUAUUUUAACUGUGCAAAGGUAGCAUAAUCAUUAGUCUUUUAAUUGAAGGCUGGUAUGAACGGUUGGACGAGGUAUAAGCUGUUUCAUGUAAAUUUAUGAUAGAAUUUUAUAUUUUAGUUAAAAAGCUAAGAUAUAAUUAAAAGACGAGAAGACCCUAUAAAUCUUUAUAUUUUAUAUAUUUUGAAUUUUUUGGAUUUGUUUUAUUUUUAUUAUAUAAAAUAUUUUGUUGGGGUGAUAUUAAAAUUUAAUAAACUUUUAAUUAUUUUAGUUCAUUAAUUUAUGUUUUAUUGAUCCAUUAAUAGUGAUUAUAAGAUUAAGUUACUUUAGGGAUAACAGCGUAAUUUUUUUGGAGAGUUCAUAUCGAUAAAAAAGUUUGCGACCUCGAUGUUGGAUUAAGAUAUAAUUUUAGGUGUAGCUGCUUAAAUGUUAAGUCUGUUCGACUUUUAAAUUCUU